GGAAUUUAAAGCUUCUUUCAUCUCCCUUUUUUCAGCAAUGAGGAAACAGAAGCAGCAUGAGAUUGAGUUGUCCAAGGUCGUGAAGCCAAUAAAUGCUAACACGGAGACCAGAAAUAAUCCUAGGAGAAGUCAUGUAAAUAUUGUACAUAUUUGUGGAAAUAACAUAUAUACGAAUUUUAGAGUUGAACUUGAGCAAAGAAACCCCUGUGACACUGAGUGGGCCACCUCAGCUUGGCAGUGAAGCAAGUGGACAAGUUGGAAACGGAAUGUCUCAGCUGCUCUUAUCUUUGUAAAAGACCAUUAGUUUGCUUAAAGGCAAUAUUCCUUUAAGAUGUUUGACAAUUCACGAGCCAAGUCAAGAUGGGUUUGGGACCCUCCCAAGCCUCCAAAAUCAAUGAACAUGUUUACUUUUUGUUAUUAGUUAUAAGAAUAACACAUUUUUCAUUUGAGAAUAAGUUGUAGAGUCCAUGAUCUGGCUUUGAUAUAAAACAACAGUUAGAACUGAUUCAAGAUUAUCUUUCAAUGCAUAGGAUUAUACUAAUAUUAGUGUGAAGGGUUCACUGCAUAUGAGAAUU
Molecule: long non-coding RNA, 575 nt
Filed under: Homo sapiens (human)
Lineage: Eukaryota; Metazoa; Chordata; Mammalia; Primates; Hominidae
Description: non-protein coding lnc-MYLK4-29:1
Source: RNAcentral